GGAUGGCACCAAAUUAGAAAGCUUCACAGUGAAGGAAAAAUUAAAAAUGUGAAGAGAGAACCUACAGAAUGGCAGAAAAUGUUAGCCACCUGCUCCUCUGAUAGGGCAUUAAUAUCCAGAAUAUACAAAGAACUCAAAAAACUUAACACCAAAAAAAUCAAAUAAACCAAUCAGUAAAUCGCCAAAAGAACUAAAUAGACACUUCUCAAAAGAAGAGAAACAAAUAGUCGACAAAUAUAUGAAAAAAAAUUAUCAACACUUUUAGCAAUCAGGGAAAUGCAAAUUAAAACUACACUGAGAUUUCAUCUCACUCCAAUCAGAAUGGCAAUUAUCAAGAAUACAAAUAACAAUAAAUGUUGGUAAGGAUGUGGGAUCAAUUUUAUGUGUUCCUUAUUUUGUUACUGAUUACUGACACAAUUACAACUAAUAAACAUUUCAAAUGUGUUUUCAGUCCUCCUAUUAACAGCAUGUCAGUGAAUAAUGACAAUAGACCAUGGAAUACAUAGAAUACAACUACAUAUUAGUAUGUCAGUAAUCAGUGAAAUAGUAAGUUGAAAAAUUGCUUACAUUACAAAAUAUACUACUACCAUUCAGAGCAAUUUCAUUACUUAUUCCAUAUCUCAAAUAAUGCUACUGACAAAUAAUAUUGAACAUAGAUCCUAGAACAUAAAUAAUAGUGAAAAAUUAAUCACUAGCAUAUGUAUAUAUUUGAUGAUUGAGUCCUAUUUGGUAUGACUCUGCAAUACUAUGGGCAGUUACUAUGUAAUAAAAGUGUCUUCAUUCCACACUUUGAUAUUAUUUAAAGUCUAUAGCUCUUCCAGAAGUUAGGAUUAGUGAGACUAGGUAAUGUGCCAAUUCCUAAAAUCUGUGUUUUAAAAAAAUAACAAUAAAGUAAAUCUCAAAUGUCAUCAAUGAAUCUUUCACUUUUCUAAAUGUAACUGAAGUAGAUUUAUAAAAUAUGACUAUUCCAACAACAUAGGAGUCAUUAAAUAAUUUCAAGUUAAUAAAGAAUCAAUGAGAAAAAAAUUCAUCUAUCACCAUACAUCCAUCACCAUUAUCAAAGGGAAGCAACUUGCCCCACUGCUUAGGUUUCCCAACAAAACAUCAAGUAUUUCCCUUUAGUUGACUUCUCCUUUCAGAUAUAGUCUAUGGCACCCAAUGGAAAAAUGAGUACAAAUAGGCAGGUACCACCUAUUACUUAAUUCAAUACAGUAGCACAUGAGGCAAUGAGGCACAGUCAGCAUUUGUGGACAAAAAAGCAGACACAGCACUCUUGCUAAUGGAGAAGGAGUUGCAUGUUCCUGCAGUUCACAUUCCCACCAGUCUAACCUCUGACCAUUCCUAUCCUCCUUACCUGUAAACAUUAAACAGAAACUACACAAAUCUUUUUUAAUGAUAAGAAUACUUGGAAAGGAAGACCUAGGCCAUAAGACAUAUUCUAUGCUUGUAUAAUUAUGUCAAAAUGGAAUCUACUGUCAUGCAUAACUAAAAAGAACCAAUAUAAAAAAAUGCAUGCUAGGUGCAGUGGCACAUGCCUGUAAUCCCAGCAGCUUAGAAGGCUGAGGCAGGAGGAUUGGGAGUUUGAAGACAGCAUCAGCAAUUUAGUGAGGCCCUAAGCAAUGUAGCAAGACCC
RNAcentral lists this long non-coding RNA (1633 nucleotides) under Marmota monax (woodchuck). Lineage: Eukaryota; Metazoa; Chordata; Mammalia; Rodentia; Sciuridae. The record is from RNAcentral.